GGGCAGCAUGUAUAAGGUGAACAGUAGUGGGCUCAGGACAGAAACUUGCGAGACACCAUACCUCACUGUGGAGGAUUCAGAGGAUUUAUUGUUCGCAUUGUCACUUGGCCAUACUGGUGACGGAGACAAUCACUGCAGCUGAUAUUGAGAGGACCUGCUGCCUGCCAGGGAGUCCAAGGCUGAUAAUUCUUGGUGACGGCUCUAGUACACAGAAAUGGAUGAUUGGAAUUGAAGGCCAGGUGAUUCACCAAGGGGUGCAGCCAACCUUCAUGUCUGGAUUAGCAACACUCUUUGUGUGUUACUACAACUUCAACCUCCAAUACCAAGAUGCACUCUUGAAUACCUGCUUGCACUCUUGAAUUUAUACAAAGAAAUUUCUUCAAAAUCAGCCCAGAGAGAAGGUGAGAGGUAUAAGCAAAGGAAAAUGAAGAGCAAGAAGACGGGAAAGUUAGUCCAGAAGAAGUCUGUUGCCAUCAACCCACACGUUUGCUCACUAAUUAGAAAGCUCACUGAGUUUGAAUGGGACUUCAUAUAAGGGAUUCUGCCGAACUUGACCACCUGGAAUGAUGGAAUAUGAGGAAGUUUUUUUUUUUUUUUUUUUAAGACUUCAACCUGCUUCUGUUCCCUUCACAUACUAUUGCUCCUGUGAACUUUAUGGUAGUUUGUUUAUUCCUUAUUUCGACAAUUAGUUUUGCAUUUUUGAAAAUCACAAUUCAAAAGAUUUUAAAAUUACAUGAUGGUGAAACGGGGCGGCAUGGUGGUGCAGUGGUUAACACUGUCGCCACACACCUCUUGGACCUGGGUUCGAGUCUCCGCCUGGGUUACAUGUGUGUGGAGUUUGCAUGUUCUCCCCAUGUCGUCGUGGGGUUUCCGCCCACAGUCCAAAGACAUGCUGAGGCUAAUUGGAGUUGCUAAAUUGCCCUUAGGUGUGCAUGUGUAAGUGAAUGGUGUGUGAGUGUGCCCUACUAUGGGCUGGCCCCCCAUCCUAGGUUGUUCCCUGCCUCGUGCCCAUUGCUUCCGGGAUAGUCUCCGGACCCCCCCCGACCCAGUAGGAUAAGCGGUUUCGAAAAUGGAUGGAUGAUGGUGAAACAUUGGAAAUGUAAGAAUUGUUUAACAUUUUCCAUUAACAUCUUUAUAUAAAAGUAAUGUUUUUGUAAACUAAGUGAAAUAUGUUUUUUCUAAAAACUUACAGUAAAGACUUAUACAGAACGUAAUUAUGGUUUCAGUGUAUUUUCUGUGUGUGUAUCAAAAGCUUAAUUAUAGCGUAUAACAAGUCAUUUAAAUCACUCAUUGUCUACUAAGCUGGAAGGCACAAGAUAUACUGUAAAAUAAAUAUACAGUGGCCUAGUGUAAAAAGUACUGUACUGGCAUCUAUGCUGCCAGUAAUUUACUGUAAAAUAUAUGGCAAAAUUUUUUACAGUGUACAUAGUGGGUAGCUUUUGUUUAUAAUUUGUGAGCAGCAAUAAUAACUAUUUCAGUGCCAGUGAUAAUGCUUUGUGAGGAAAUAAUGGUAUUAAUAUUCUCACAAUAUUUGAUUAAUUAUUUGUCAGAAUUAUCAUUUAGGUAAUAAUUCCCUGAAGUUGCCAGAGUAAUCUGAUAAAUUAAAUACUACUGAUCUGUUUCUGAGAAAAUUCCAAGGGAUACUGCAAAGCAAUUUAUCCAACAUGAACUAUUGUUCAUUUUCAGUUACAAAAAAAUAUCAUAUUAUUAUGACAUAUCAUAACCAGGUGCAUCCUGCUUGCCUGUCCACUAGAGGGCAUACACAUGCACACAUAUGCUCUAUGGCCAGUAUAUGGUUGUCAGUUGGCCACUGUCUUUGGAUUGGUGGAAUUUUGUGGCUCACUACACAUUUCAGUUGGAAUUUUCCUUUUUUACAUGUACUGUAUGAGUAAGGACAAAUUUGCAGUUUUGAGCAUUUCAGGUCCAGAAAUUACAAAUCCAGACCAAGAUUUUGU
Long non-coding RNA from Brienomyrus brachyistius, 1955 nucleotides. RefSeq lists it as uncharacterized. The transcript has 5 exons. The record is from RefSeq and is a predicted model, not a curated record. Lineage: Eukaryota; Metazoa; Chordata; Actinopteri; Osteoglossiformes; Mormyridae.